AUGUGUGGGAGGAGAGGGCUUGGCCAGGAAAGAGAUGUGAUGUGGUGGGGGAUUCCCGGGUACAGGUGUAGAAUCCCACGGUGUCAGUCCCACGCUCUGCAGAUGCACAGCGUCUGGGAAAGAGGAUUAUGGAAUGAGCUGUGCCGGCCUUUCUUCCCAGGUCACCCCAGACCGUGCUGCCAGUCUCAGCUGGCUUCGGGGCUGCCGGUUCUCUCCUCCCACUGCGGCGUGUCAGGGCAGAGCCAUCCUGUGAGGAGCCUGGGGACAGCUGACCAAACAGAGAGCAUCAGUAGACAGCUGAGCUGCCACGGUCAUGGUCGUGGUCAUGAGCCCACAGCCCAGGACCACUUGCCAUUGAAUAACUGGGAGAUGAAACAGGAAACUUUAUGACACACUUGCUUGAAAAUGACACAGGACUCAGCCCCUCUGCAUCACCUCUACCUGCUGCCCACAGCCGAAUGCGGGGGAAGGGCUGGCCCUGGGACCUGAUUCCAACCGCCGUGGACUCGACGUUCAGUGUGAUGUGUCUGCCAUACUGUGGUCAUGGGCUAGUCUGGUCGGUUUCCUAUGUAGCUGGCCACUCUCAGUGUAUCUUUGCCCCUUUUCCUUCAUUAAAAGCAUAACUAAAGAAAAAUGGAUUGUUUACUUAUUGUUGCUGUUCAUCCGCUAAGUUGUGUCUGACCCUUUGAGACCCCAUGGGCUGUAGCACUCCAGGCUCCUCUGAACUCCACGAUCUCAAUAGCUCUGUUUAAAUCUCAAUGUAAAGGAGACCAAAUAAUGUUUGAGAUUCAUUUCUCUAGGACCACAGAGAAACCAUGUCAUAACCACACAGCUCAUUAUGACAGCUUCUAGAAGAAGUGUGUUGAACUUGAAUCACUUAUUACUCAGUCUGGUCUGCCCUGCCUUUUCUUCUCUCUCUGGAAGCCCUCUCUUGAAUCAGUACUGGCAAGUUGACACUUGAGAAAAAUCCUGGGAGAUAUUUGGAAGUCUCUUCCCACACCCUCUCUGAUCAUGGCCUACAGACGGUGGCCCUGAAUCGUCACCAACCUUGAGCUUGCUACUGCAGACUUCUGUCUUCUCAGCUGCCCCUCUCCUUCCCUCUGCACAUCAGCCACUCAUUCACUGUUUCAUGCCACAAGGGUUUUUGGGCUUCUCUAUGCCAGGUUCUGAAGACAAGGAUGAGGAUGGGGUCAGUCUGCUUGGCCUUCCCAACACCUCUAGUCUAGUUCUGUGUGAGCCUCUCUAGGCUUCACUCACCAAGUAUAGUGGGUGCUAGACAGUUCAUUACAGACCAUAGAUGCCCAGAUUUUUUAAAUCCACCCUUCACAUUGGAGCCCCUAGAAAUGGCACCUAAAUAUUCCUUGAAGUGAGUAAACAUCGGCACGCCCGU
Molecule: long non-coding RNA, 1390 nt
Filed under: Bos indicus x Bos taurus (hybrid cattle)
Lineage: Eukaryota; Metazoa; Chordata; Mammalia; Artiodactyla; Bovidae
Description: lncRNA (ENSBIXG00000022252.1)
Source: RNAcentral